This 319-nucleotide ribosomal RNA is filed under the name uncultured eukaryote. Its description in RNAcentral is "partial 18S ribosomal RNA". It matches the Rfam family "Eukaryotic small subunit ribosomal RNA", at positions 1470 to 1796 of the family's 1831-position model. The record is from RNAcentral.
CCCCUAGAUGUUCUGGGCCGCACGCGCGCUACACUGACGAAUGCAACGAGCUUAUAACCUUGGCCGAAAGGUCUGGGUAAUCUCCAAAUUUCGUCGUGAUGGGGAUAGAUUAUUGCAAUUAUUAAUCUUCAACGAGGAAUGCCUAGUAAGCGCAAGUCAUCAGCUUGCGUUGAUUACGUCCCUGCCCUUUGUACACACCGCCCGUCGCUCCUACCGAUUUCGAGUGGUCCGGUGAAUCUUUCGGACUGCGCGCGGCCUCGUGCCGUGUCGCGGAAAGUCAGGUAAACCUUAUCACUUAGAGGAAGGAGAAGUCGUAACA